RNAcentral lists this ribosomal RNA (442 nucleotides) under uncultured bacterium. RNAcentral's name for it is "partial 16S ribosomal RNA". It matches the Rfam family "Bacterial small subunit ribosomal RNA", at positions 338 to 795 of the family's 1533-position model. The record is from RNAcentral.
CCUACGGGUGGCAGCAGUGAGGAAUAUUGGUCAAUGGGCGCAAGCCUGACCCAGCAACGCCGCGUGAAGGAAGAAGGCUUUCGGGUUGUAAACUUCUUUUAAGGGGGAAGAGCAGAAGACGGUACCCCUUGAAUAAGCCACGGCUAACUACGUGCCAGCAGCCGCGGUAAUACGUAGGUGGCAAGCGUUGUCCGGAUUUACUGGGUGUGAAGGGCGUGCAGCCGGAGAGACAAGUCAGAUGUGAAAUCCACGGGCUCAACCCGUGAACUGCAUUUGAAACUGUUUCCCUUGAGUGUCGGAGAGGUAAUCGGAAUUCCUGGUGUAGCGGUGAAAUGCGUAGAUAUAAGGAAGAACACCAGUGGCGAAGGCGGAUUACUGGACGAUAACUGACGGUGAGGCACGAAAGCGUGGGGAGCAAACAGGAUUAGAUACCCUUGUAGUC